Molecule: ribosomal RNA, 497 nt
Filed under: uncultured bacterium
Lineage: Bacteria
Description: partial 16S ribosomal RNA
Rfam family: Bacterial small subunit ribosomal RNA
Source: RNAcentral
GAUGAACGCUGGCGGCGUGCCUAAUACAUGCAAGUCGAGCGAACAGACGAGGAGCUUGCUCCUCUGACGUUAGCGGCGGACGGGUGAGUAACACGUGGAUAACCUACCUAUAGGACUGGGAUAACUUCGGGAAACCGGAGCUAAUACCGGAUAAUAUAUUGAACCGCAUGGUUCAAUAGUGAAAGCGGGUUUUGCUGUCACUUAUAGAUGGAUCCACGCCGCAUUAGCUAGUUGGUAAGGUAACGGCUUACCAAGGCAACGAUGCGUAGCCGACCUGAGAGGGUGAUCGGCCACACUGGAACUGAGACACGGUCCAGACUCCUACGGGAGGCAGCAGUAGGGAAUCUUCCGCAAUGGGCGAAAGCCUGACGGAGCAACGCCGCGUGAGUGAUGAAGGUCUUCGGAUCGUAAAACUCUGUUAUUAGGGAAGAACAAAUGUGUAAGUAACUAUGCACGUCUUGACGGUACCUAAUCAGAAAGCCACGGCUAACUACGUG